GACGAACGCUGGCGGCGUGCUUAACACAUGCAAGUCGAACGGUGAUGCUCCAGCUUGCUGGAGUGGAUCAGUGGCGAACGGGUGAGUAACACGUGAGCAACCUGCCCCAGACUCUGGAAUAAGCGCUGGAAACGGCGUCUAAUACUGGAUACGAAACUGGCCCGCAUGGGCAUGGUUUGGAAAGUUUUUCGGUUUGGGAUGGGCUCGCGGCCUAUCAGCUUGUUGGUGGGGUAAUGGCUCACCAAGGCGACGACGGGUAGCCGGCCUGAGAGGCGACCGGCCACACUGGGACUGAGACACGGCCCAGACUCCUACGGGAGGCAGCAGUGGGGAAUAUUGCACAAUGGGCGGAAGCCUGAUGCAGCGACGCCGCGUGAGGGAUGACGGCCUUCGGGUUGUAAACCUCUUUCAGCAGGGAAGAAGCGAUAGUGACGGUACCUGCAGAAGAAGCACCGGCUAACUACGUG
This 467-nucleotide ribosomal RNA is filed under the name uncultured bacterium. RNAcentral describes it as "partial 16S ribosomal RNA". It matches the Rfam family "Bacterial small subunit ribosomal RNA", at positions 28 to 507 of the family's 1533-position model. The record is from RNAcentral.